UAGCGUUCCGGUACGAUGCCGUGUAGAAACCAAAUGGGUAUGGGUUUAAUAAAAACUGUUAUAGCCCUUCCAGGUUGGCCCGUAUCCACCUUAGACUGCAUCAUCACUUACCACCAGGUGAGAUUGCAGUCGAGGGCUAACUUGUAUCUGAAUAAAA
Maniola jurtina (meadow brown) is the source of this 157-nucleotide long non-coding RNA. RefSeq lists it as uncharacterized. NCBI's taxonomy places the organism in Eukaryota, Metazoa, Arthropoda, Insecta, Lepidoptera, Nymphalidae. The transcript has 2 exons. The record is from RefSeq and is a predicted model, not a curated record.